Molecule: RNA transcript, 1496 nt
Organism: Physcomitrium patens
Lineage: Eukaryota; Viridiplantae; Streptophyta; Bryopsida; Funariales; Funariaceae
Source: RefSeq, a predicted model, not a curated record
GCCAUUGUGGCGUCCUGUCUUUCCGAUGUGACACUCUUAUCUUGCUUGACAACAUUGCUGGAACUUUCAGCUGCUAGGUCUGUUAAUCAGUCCAAUCUUUCUAAUCUUGUUCACAUCAUGCACUGAUAUAAUCUUGUGUUGUUAACUUGUUGGUCAUUUCCCUAGAGAAUGCUUGUACUGCAUACAGUUUUGUUAGGUUUUUGAAGAUGGAGCUGGGCUCGUUCCAUGAUAGAAUCAGAUGCAAACGUAGGUUACCUUGAAUUACCUCCCGGGUCGUGCUGGCUUAUUGUCCCGCUCCCACUCCCGGGUCAGAUGAUUUGGAUAAAGUUUGGAGAACUCAAAAUUUUCAAUAUUUUUGAGGUUGAUAAAUUGGGUGAAAGACACAUACCCAAGUAGAGGUUAUCAAUCCGAGCUCCUUCCGGAGGUAGAGGCUUGCACUCGCACAUUUCAGGACAAUGAGCGGUACAAGUCUGACAGUCGGUACUUCCGAGUGUGGAAAAGCUGAUCGACAAGUGCGCUCCCAGUGGCUUGUUUAAGAACUGCCUUGGAGACGGACUGCAGAAGAAACUCAGUGUUGCAGCUCGCAUGCGCGUCGAAUCUCCAUCGCCGCGCUUUGCGCGCGCUGCUCCUCUCUCUUACCUUUUGUCUUAGCCGUUCCGUGUCGUCUUUGGUGGCCGCUCGCGUCUGCUGUGGCUCUCCUCCUCUGCAUGCGGUGAUACCGCGUGGUUAGGGUUUGACAUCGGAUCAACCGUCGCUGACGAGAACUCCUCCUGUGCGCCGUUGUUGAUAACUCCGCCUCUGUGCUGCUGUCGAGAACUCCGCCUGGGCGCCUGCCUCGCGGGAUUCCUGAACCGACAAAGUUUGGUGAUCGUGUUAUGGACCGCCGUAUGCAGGAGGUGAGCUGCGAAGUUAGCUGUAUGCGGAAUGCGGAAGUGUGAGUGAGUGCAUGUGUUGGGAGGGCUGUUUUACUAAAUCGACUUUGGUCCGGUUCAGUCUAGUAGAAGAUCACUGCUUCCGAAUGAUGUUCCUCCAAACAUGAAGGACAUCAAACACAGAUGCUGGAGUGUUGAUCCCGCAGAGAGACCAUCGUUUGCUCAAAUUGUACCUCCUCUGAAAGAAAGUUACGUCUCAUCAUGCAUAAGCAAAGUCUAGCUAGUUACACAUAAAAGAGAGGUUAUUGAUUGUGAAGUUUAAUCUGUUUGAUGGAUUAUUCUAAUUUGGAUUGAAGUUUAGUCCGAUUAAUGUUAUUGUUGUAGCCCGGGUUGAAUGUCAUGUCAUGAUAGUGAAGUCAAAUAAUUAUGUUGAGUCCAAAUUAAUGUGUCCAUGUACAUUUUCUUGAUAAUGAUUUGAGUCAGUUAAUUAUGUAGUGUAGAUAGUGGAAUCAACAAUGUAGAAAGGUUUGAGCUAUUAUAAGACUGGAAUCAUGAGAGAGCAAUUGUAAGAUCAGAUUCCUAAUUGAAAUUGGAAAAAAAAUGACCAUAUUUUUGUUUUUAUAA